ACAUGCAAGUCGAACGAAGUAGCAAUACUUAGUGGCAGACGGGUGAGUAACAUGUAGGUAUCUUCCCUUUGGUGAGGAAUAACACGAGGAAACUUGUGCUAAUACCUCAUAAGUCUUUACGGAGAAAGCUUUAUGCGCCAUAGGAUGAGCCUGCAUUUGAUUAGUUUGUUGGUGGGGUAAUGGCCUACCAAGACUUUGAUCAAUAGCUGAUCUGAGAGGAUGAUCAGCCACAUUGGGACUGAGACACGGCCCAAACUCCUACGGGAGGCAGCAGUAGGGAAUAUUGCACAAUGGAGGAAACUCUGAUGCAGCGAUGCCGCGUGAGUGAAGAAGGCCUUUGGGUUGUAAAGCUCUUUCGUCGGGGAAGAAAAUGACUGUACCCGAAUAAGAAGGUCCGGCUAACUUCGUGCCAGCAGCCGCGGUAAUACGAAGGGACCUAGCGUAGUUCGGAAUUACUGGGCUUAAAGAGUUCGUAGGUGGUUAAAAAAGUUGGUGGUGAAAUCCCAGAGCUUAACUCUGGAACUGCCAUCAAAACUUUUUAGCUAGAGUAUGAUAGAGGAAAGCAGAAUUUCUAGUGUAGAGGUGAAAUUCGUAGAUAUUAGAAAGAAUACCAAUUGCGAAGGCAGCUUUCUGGAUCAUUACUGACACUGAGGAACGAAAGCAUGGGUAGCGAAGAGGAUUAGAUACCCUCGUAGUCCAUGCCGUAAACGAUGUGUGUUAGACGUUGGAAAUUUAUUUUCAGUGUCGCAGCGAAAGCAUUAAACACACCGCCUGGGGAG
This 779-nucleotide ribosomal RNA is filed under the name uncultured Pelagibacteraceae bacterium. RNAcentral describes it as "bacterial SSU rRNA". It matches the Rfam family "Bacterial small subunit ribosomal RNA", at positions 53 to 880 of the family's 1533-position model. Lineage: Bacteria; Pseudomonadati; Pseudomonadota; Alphaproteobacteria; Candidatus Pelagibacterales; Candidatus Pelagibacteraceae. The record is from RNAcentral.